GGAAGCGCAUGGGGUCCGGUGAUCCUCCUGGUCUUCAAAACCAGCGCUCGACAGCUUCGCGCUGCCGAGGGUCGGUUCGACUCCGACACGCUUCCGCCA
Molecule: transfer RNA, 99 nt
Filed under: Terriglobia bacterium
Lineage: Bacteria; Pseudomonadati; Acidobacteriota; Terriglobia
Also listed under: 1 other name
Description: tRNA-Sec
Rfam family: Selenocysteine transfer RNA
Source: RNAcentral